Molecule: ribosomal RNA, 1368 nt
Filed under: Eupolyphaga sinensis
Lineage: Eukaryota; Metazoa; Arthropoda; Insecta; Blattodea; Corydiidae
Description: 16S ribosomal RNA
Rfam family: Archaeal large subunit ribosomal RNA (bases 885-1250)
Source: RNAcentral
GUCGUGCAAUUCGAUAUGAUUUGAUAAUAUGAUGUUUAUGUUUAUUUAUAGGUUUAUUUUAAUGAAAUAUCUUAUUGUUAUUGUAUUGAUUAUUGAUUUAAUUAUUUUAUGAUAGUUUAAUUGUACUGUAAAGGGUAUCUUAUAUUUAUAUAAAGUAAAUUUUGUUUAUUGUACCUUGUGUAUCAGGGUUUAUUUAAAUUAUUUAUGUAUUUUAUUUUUCCCGAUUUUAGGAGAGUUAAUAAGUUAUUAUGGUUAUUGUUUAAUAAAUAUCAGUAAUAUUUAUUGGUGGUGAAAUGUUAUGUCGAUCUUAAGGGUGUCUGGUUUCUUGGGAAAUAAAUUUAAUUUAUGUAUUUUUUGUUAGAUUUUAUUAGUUUAUAAUAUCUACUUUAAUUUAUGCGAAUAUCUUAGGGGAUUAUCUUUAAGAUAUAAUUUUAUAAUUUAUUUUUCUUUUAGGUUGUGUUGGGUUUAGGAAUAAUUAUUAUUUUAAGUAUGUUGAAAUAUAAUUUUUUUAUUAAGUGGAUUUUCUUGGGAUGAAUUUAGGUUAUUUACUGAGAUGUUGUUUUUAAUAAGUUUAUAUUUUUAUUUAUGAUGGAAUUAGUAUAUUUUGUUUUAAGUUGUAUUUUGAUUUAUGUUAAGUUAUAAUUAGGAAUUCGGCAAAGUUGAUUUAUUCGUUUGUUUAACAAAAACAUUUCUUCUUGAUUUUAAUCUGAAGUAUGACCUGCCCGCUGAUUAAUAUUGAAGGGCCGCGGUAUUUUGACCGUGCGAAGGUAGCAUAAUCAUUAGUUUUUUAAUUGAAGGCUGGAAUGAAUGGUUGGACGAGAUAAAGGCUGUCUUGUUAUUAGUGUUUUAGAAUUUAACAUUCAAGUUAAAAGGUUUGAAUGUUGUUAUGGGACGAGAAGACCCUAUAGAGUUUAAUAAUAUGAAUACUGUAUUUGUGUUGGGUUAUUAAUUUAGAUUUUAAUAUUAUUUUGUUGGGGCGAUAGUGAGGAUAAAGUAACCCUUAUUUAUAUUAUUGGUACUGAUUUGUAUUAUUUUGAUCCAUUAUUUGAUGAUUAUAAGAUUAAAUUACCUUAGGGAUAACAGCGUAAUUUUUUUGGAGAGUUCUAAUUGAUAAAAAAGAUUGCGACCUCGAUGUUGGAUUGAAGAUAAUUAUUGGUGAAGAAGUUAAUAUAAUUAGGUCUGUUCGACCUUUAAAAUCUUACAUGAUCUGAGUUCAAACCGGUGUGAGCCAGGUUGGUUUCUAUCUAUAAUGUAUUAAAUAUUUUAGUACGAAAGGACCAAGUAUUUAGAAUAAUUUUUUGUUUAUUGAUUAUUAGUAAUUAUUUUGGCAGAUAAGUGCAACGGAUUUAGAAUUCGUGCAUGUAGUAA